Molecule: ribosomal RNA, 497 nt
Filed under: uncultured bacterium
Lineage: Bacteria
Description: partial 16S ribosomal RNA
Rfam family: Bacterial small subunit ribosomal RNA
Source: RNAcentral
GAUGAACGCUGGCGGCGUGCCUAAUACAUGCAAGUCGAGCGAACGGACGAGAAGCUUGCUUCUCUGAUGUUAGCGGCGGACGGGUGAGUAACACGUGGAUAACCUACCUAUAAGACUGGGUUAACUUCGGGAAACCGUAGCUAAUACCGGAUAAUAUUUUGAACCGCAUGGUUCAAAAGUGAAAGACGGUCUUGCUGUCACUUAUAGAUGGAUCCGCGCUGCAUUAGCUAGUUGGUAAGGUAACGGCUUACCAAGGCAACGAUGCAUAGCCGACCUGAGAGGGUGAUCGGCCACACUGGAACUGAGACACGGUCCAGACUCCUACGGGAGGCAGCAGUAGGGAAUCUUCCGCAAUGGGCGAAAGCCUGACGGAGCAACGCCGCGUGAGUGAUGAAGGUCUUCGGAUCGUAAAACUCUGUUAUUAGGGAAGAACAUAUGUGUAAGUAACUGUGCACAUCUUGACGGUACCUAAUCAGAAAGCCACGGCUAACUACGAG